AUUAAGGGGAGGAAAAGAAACUAACAAGGAUUCCCUCAGUAAGGGCGACUGAAGCGGGAAGAGCUCACCGUGUGAAUCGGCAUUUAUGUCGAGUUGUGGUCUGUAGAAGCAUUGUCGGUCGACGUUCCGGGCCAAGUCUCUUGGAAAAGAGCAGCUGAGAGGGUGACACUCCCGUUCUUGCCUGGAAUGUGCGAUCAUAGCACAUGCCUUCGACGAGUCGAGUUGCUUGGGAUUGCAGCUCAAAUGCGUGGUAUACUCCAUGUAAAGCUAAAUAUUGGUAGGAAACCGAUAGCGUACAAGUACUGUGAAGGAAAGAUGCAAAGAACUUUGAAAAGAGAGUUAAAGAGUACCUGAAAUUGCUGAAAGGGAAGCGAAUGGAAACAGUGUGUUUCCGUACCAUUCUUCCUCUGCGACUUGUCGUAGGGGCGCUGUGGUGCGGAGUCGGUCAGCAUGGGUUUGGAUCGGGGCAUAUAGCUGUUCAGGAGGCAUGCGUCUUUUCGCAGAUUACUGUUCAGUGUUGCCCUGGUCUGGAUCGAGGCUAGUAUUUCGUGAUGCUGACGAAAUGUUUCUAUUCACCCCGUCU
This 583-nucleotide ribosomal RNA is filed under the name Chaetoceros pseudocurvisetus. RNAcentral describes it as "partial large subunit ribosomal RNA". It matches the Rfam family "Eukaryotic large subunit ribosomal RNA", at positions 45 to 654 of the family's 3401-position model. The record is from RNAcentral. Lineage: Eukaryota; Bacillariophyta; Thalassiosirophyceae; Chaetocerotales; Chaetocerotaceae.